CUCUCUCUCCAUCCUCACCAUUUUCGGCCAUCACCUUCUCUCCCUCAUAUCUCACUUUCCACCAUUAACAACCAUAGAUGAGACCUUCGGAGCUUCCAAAAAUUUUACAAAACACCUCAAUCCACUCUAAAAUCUUCCAUAAACACAUCCUAGCUACUUAUAUUCAAGAGAAUCCUUGAAGAAGGACUUCAAAGCUAGAGUGAGAAAGUGUGGGUCUUGGUAAGAAUUUGGGUAAGUGACCAUGUAUUCCAUAAAUCUUGCUUGAAUGAUGUUGUAUGUGAGUAUUCUUGAAAGAUUGAAGCAAGAAAAUCACCCCUCCCUUGUUCUUAAAAUUUUUGAAAAAAAAAUGGGUCUUUACCAUUCAAAAAAAAUUUCUUUUUCUUUCUUUGAUUUGGGAUGAAAAUUUAGAUCUAUGUGGUGUUUGUUGAUGAUUGAUGUGUGUUGUGAAAGUAUAUGCUUUGAGAUGUGAAAGUCGAUUGAGUUUAGUUUACCCAAAAAUUGGGAAAUUGUGAGUUGAUGAUUAAAAUGAUGGAUUGAUGAUGAAGAUGAGUCUAUGAGAUGUAUAUGAUGAUGAUUGAUGGAGUAAAUUGAGUAUAUGAUGUCAAUUGAUGAUUUUGAUAUGAGUUAGUUUAAUAAAAUUAGGGAUAUGUGUAUUUAUGCCCUAAAUUGUUAAUUGAUGGUUUAUAUGUGAGUUUAAAAGGUUGAAAUUGGUAGAUCAAUGAUUGGAUCAAAGUGUCAUGUGUGUUUAUAAAAUUUCAAAGAGUUUAGUUUAAUAAAAAUUAGGACUUUCUUGUCUCUGUGUUUAUUAAGUGAAUUGGCUUAAGAUAUAUGUAAUUGAGAACCUAUUGAGUUGAUAUCCAUGAGUUUUUAAAAGGAUUAGAAAGGAUUUUGAAUUUUCAAAGAGUUUAGUUUGUAUAAAUUUGGGAAGUUUUGGAUGUGAGGUUGAUUGAUGAAUUGAUGUCUAAUUACUCUAUUGAGUGUUUAUAUGAGAUUUGAUGGAUUGGAUUGAUGGUUGAAAUUGAUUGGUAAUUUUUGAUAUGAGUUAGUUUGAUGUAAUUUGGGUAAAAUUGAUUCUAUGGUUUAAUUUACUAAUUGAUUGCUUAUUUAUGCUACUAAGUGUACCAAUUUGAUUAAUCUAAGGUUGGAUUAAUGAUUUAUGUAUGUUUGUAGAUUUUCAAAAAGUUUAGUUUGUUAAAAAUUGGGACUUUGUGAUCUAUGUGUUAAUUGAUUAAAUUGGCUAAGUUUAAUUGUUAUUAAGCAUGAUAGAAAUGAUAAUUAGGGAUCAAUUUGGUUAAUUGUCAAGAAUGCCUAAAAUUGGUUAAGUUUAGUUUGCGUGCAUACAUGAGAUCUUGUAUAUAAGAUGAGUUAUGAGUCGAGCAUGUUUAUAUAUGGCUAUUUGAUGAUAAAUUGACAUAUCUCCCAAACCACUUGGAGUUUUUGACUCUACUUUUUUUUAUAUGAAACUAGACUCGAAGAUCUUUCUUUUGGUCUAAGUCUCGAGUCCAGGAGAUGUCGGAGUCAGAACAGGUUAAUUUUUGAAGUUGAGUCAGUGUAAAAACAGAGCAUGUUUUGAUGGUGCAUGAUUAUUAUCUCUUAUGUGAACAUGUGAAUUUCUAAAUGAUAUUAAGUUUAAGGAUGUUGAAUUCUUUUAUUUUGUUUGUUAUGUGGUUACGUGAUAUUAUGUGGUUAGUCGAUGUUAUGUUGGUUUUUGAUUGUUUUAAUCGAAAUGAAUUAUGGAUGCUAGAACCCUAAAACACUAAAGGAUACCCUAGGCACGUAGAAUUAGACUUUGUCUUGUGACAAUUUUCUUCACGAACUUACCGACUCUUCAUCAAUAAAGGUCCGGGCGACAGGAAGUGAAGCCGAAGAGAAGCGACUCCACGCUAGCUUAAGAACGUUUGAGGUGGGCAUUACUUUACUAUAAGUAUAUAGAGAUCCCCUGCGUGACGUAGGCCUCAUAUACGAAUAUAUGCAUGAUAUGUUUAACUAUUAUUCAGUUUAUGAAAUGCCCAAAUGAUAAAUGACCCUUAUGAAAUGAAAUGUUUACGAAAAUGAAAUGUUUAUGAAAUGAUUGACUGCCAAAAAUAUUUAUGUUUUAUAUGUAUCCUAUCUGUGUUGGUUCGCCAACUUUAAAGGAAAUCCAAUUGGGAUCCUAUGCUAGACAAAGGUCGCUAGCUAGGGUUAACGUGUACACUCAUGGAGACCGCGAGUCGCUUGCGACCGGUCUUGGCGUCCGUGGUAAGGAGGCCUCCUUCCCGGCGCGUGACAGAAAGGAACAGAUAUGGAUCAUAUGAAGGAAAAUGGGUCGGCCGGCCAAUCUUAUGAAAAUGAAAGAAAUGUUUUAGUAAGCGCAGGACUUUCAAGAAAACCCCUGUGUGUUACUGUUAUGGCAGUUCAAUUUAUAUAUGUAUGCAUGUUGUAUUUUCGGCAUAUGUCCACUGAGUAUUUUUAUACUCAGCCCUGCAUGUAUUUCUAAAUGUGCAGGUUGAGUAGCUGAUGGAAUGGAAUGGUGUUGAGCGGGUGUUCCUUUGAUCAUUUCAAGAAAUGUAACCUUGAGUAUACAUCUUCAUAUGUAUAUCUCACACGUUUUCCGCUGCAAAACACUUUGAUUAGGAUAACUCUAUGUUAUGAAGUUGUGACACGUGAUAUUGGAUAAACCACCUUAAUCAGUUCUCCUUUAUGUGUAUGUUUCAUAAGUAUCCAAAUGAUCAUAUAUGAUCCUAGCAUUUUAUCUAUGAGUGACAUUUUCAUAUACUUUAAUGUUAAGUAAUUGUCCAUUUCCGUUCCCACUCGUUGUUCACCCCAAGUCAUAACC
This 2815-nucleotide long non-coding RNA is filed under the name Salvia miltiorrhiza (redroot sage). Its description in RNAcentral is "long non-coding RNA (SMIL_LNC007027)". The record is from RNAcentral. Lineage: Eukaryota; Viridiplantae; Streptophyta; Magnoliopsida; Lamiales; Lamiaceae.